CACAGUGCUCCACGAGCUGUCUGUCCCCAAAGCCAAGGCCACUCCAAGGAAAGAAGCAGCAUCUGGAAGCAAAGCAAUGCGAUCGAUACCCGGGUGUUUACCGGCCGCCACGUACUCCGCCCUCGGGCCUCCACGGCGGCGGGGUGGGGAGCCAGCAGGCGCCCAUGCCUGCGGCCGCCGCUACCAUCCCACGUGGAGGACCACCUGUGCUGGCUAUCCUUCUUGGGAGUCCAACCCGGCCACUCCAUGCACGCCC
This 256-nucleotide long non-coding RNA is filed under the name Setaria italica (foxtail millet). RNAcentral describes it as "long non-coding RNA (SITA_LNC001670)". The record is from RNAcentral. Lineage: Eukaryota; Viridiplantae; Streptophyta; Magnoliopsida; Poales; Poaceae.